AAACGAAAUAGGAGUAGAGUCGCCUAAGAUUCAAAAAGGAAGUUGGAACACAAGAGAGGUCUGAUUAAUACUAGUUUUCUGUAAAAUCGCGAAGAAACACACAGUUAGCACCGUCAACCUCUGCAACCACCGAUUCCAACCAUGCUUCCCCUUUCCCUUCUCAAGACUGCCCAAGGCCACCCCAUGCUGGUGGAACUGAAAAAUGGGGAGACUUAUAACGGGCACUUGGUUAAUUGUGAUACAUGGAUGAACAUCCAUCUCCGAGAAGUCAUUUGUACCUCUAAAGAUGGAGAUAGAUUUUGGCGUAUGCCUGAGUGCUACAUUCGUGGCAAUACCAUUAAGUACCUUCGGGUUCCUGAUGAGGUUAUUGACAAAGUCCAGGAAGAAACAAAGAGCCGUACUGAUCGCAAACCCCCUGGUGUGGGACGUGGAAGGGGAAGAGGUAGGGAUGAUGGUCCUGGUGGACGUCAACCAAAAGGAAUUGGGCGAGGUAUUGAUGAGGGUGGAGCUAAAGGACAAGGAGGACGAGGCCGGGGUGGUCCAGGUGGAAAACCCAGUGGAAACAGAGGUGCAGGGCGAGGUAGAGGUUGAUUUGGGUGCUGAUAUGGAACUACAGAUGGGCCAGUUGCUGCUUUUAGAGGCAUUGGUGCCCAUUCAAAACAUUUAGUGUUUGUGUUAUGUUUCCUGUGCAUUAUUUGAUUUUAGGUUUCCAAUUGUUUUCCUGCAUUUAUAGUCACAAAAAUGGUGAUAUUAUGGACCUCAUCAAAAAUCUUCUAUGCCAACAUCGUUUUCCAAUGCCUUCUCUGUUGAAAACUUGCCUUUGUAAUCCUUUUUCCUGAGGCUAUGUUUAGAUAUCUAGUGAUGAGUGAAAUGAAAUGGAAAGGAAUCAUGGGGUGGAAUGAAAUAAAAUUAGCAUUCUAUUGUUUGGAUAGUUUUAUUGGAGGGGAAGGAAUAGAAUACAAUGCAUGCUUUCAUUCCAUCCUAUUCUAAUCCAAACUACCCAAAUAAUGGAACCUAGUCUUAAUUCUUUUUCAUUCCACUUUAUUACAUUCUUUUCCUUCAAUUCAAACGUAGUAUCGGGGAGAAGUAAUCAUGGUGGUACAUGUUAAUUGUUGAAUAGUAAAUACCUCCGAAUCUUGCUAAGUUUUUAAAUGUUAUAUUGAAUCCGAAGUUUGUUUGUA
RNA transcript from Glycine soja, 1181 nucleotides. It is a transcript of the gene named sm-like protein LSM4, with no coding region annotated. The transcript has 7 exons. NCBI's taxonomy places the organism in Eukaryota, Viridiplantae, Streptophyta, Magnoliopsida, Fabales, Fabaceae. The record is from RefSeq and is a predicted model, not a curated record.